Molecule: transfer RNA, 71 nt
Filed under: Gymnothorax rueppelliae (banded moray)
Lineage: Eukaryota; Metazoa; Chordata; Actinopteri; Anguilliformes; Muraenidae
Description: tRNA-Val
Rfam family: tRNA
About the family: Transfer RNA (tRNA) molecules are approximately 80 nucleotides in length. Their secondary structure includes four short double-helical elements and three loops (D, anti-codon, and T loops).
Source: RNAcentral
UAGGGCGUAGCUAAGCAGGAAAGCAUCUCUCUUACACUGAGAAAACACUCGUGCAAAUCGAGUCGCCUUAA